This 349-nucleotide ribosomal RNA is filed under the name uncultured bacterium. RNAcentral describes it as "bacterial SSU rRNA". It matches the Rfam family "Bacterial small subunit ribosomal RNA", at positions 1036 to 1383 of the family's 1533-position model. The record is from RNAcentral.
AGGUGGUGCAUGGUUGUCGUCAGCUCGUGUCGUGAGAUGUUGGGUUAAGUCCCGCAACGAGCGCAACCCUCGUUCUAUGUUGCCAGCACGUAAUGGUGGGAACUCAUGGGAUACUGCCGGGGUCAACUCGGAGGAAGGUGGGGAUGACGUCAAAUCAUCAUGCCCCUUAUGUCUUGGGCUUCACGCAUGCUACAAUGGCCGGUACAAAGGGCUGCNAUACCGCGAGGUGGAGCGAAUCCCAAAAAGCCGGUCCCAGUUCGGAUUGAGGUCUGCAACUCGACCUCAUGAAGUCGGAGUCGCUAGUAAUCGCAGAUCAGCAACGCUGCGGUGAAUACGUUCCCGGGUCUUG